Molecule: long non-coding RNA, 542 nt
Organism: Callorhinchus milii (elephant shark)
Lineage: Eukaryota; Metazoa; Chordata; Chondrichthyes; Chimaeriformes; Callorhinchidae
Exons: 4
Source: RefSeq, a predicted model, not a curated record
UGUGUGUGCGGUGUAUGUGCGGUGUACGUCUGUGCCUCUGAGCAUCUCUGCAAAGUGAUACCCAUCUUCAUUGAAACAAUUGACACCACAUCAUCACAUGACGACCCUUAGCAACUGUUGCCUUAGCGCUGAGAUCCAAACAGAAGUGACUGAGACACUCAGCGGGUCAGGCGUCCACAUGGAGAGAGUUAACCUCUCAAGUUGAUGACCUUUCGUCAGCACUGGGGAAUGAUAGAAGGGACCGGAUUAGAAGGACACGCAGAGAAGUAGGGGUUCCCCUGAAAGCUUUUAUCUCCAUUUCAGCAGCUUCUUGCCUCCAAAAUGCAGGAAAAUCCCAGGAAAGUCCCAGAGAAAUGCCUGACACUGCCUGAGACUAAAUACACCAAAAUGGCAGAAGAGUUGUCACACAAGAAGGCACUACCAGAGGACAAGGUGCAGGGCUUCCCCGGACGCACCCUCUUUGGCACCACGUUGGAUCACAAAGCCCUCACUAAAGUGCGGACAGAGAAAGACCUGUUCAAGUCUGAUAUCCCGAGCGAUGC